Molecule: ribosomal RNA, 402 nt
Filed under: Verrucomicrobiota bacterium
Lineage: Bacteria; Pseudomonadati; Verrucomicrobiota
Description: Verrucomicrobia bacterium partial 16S ribosomal RNA
Rfam family: Bacterial small subunit ribosomal RNA
Source: RNAcentral
UGGGGAAUUUUGCACAAUGGGGGAAACCCUGAUGCAGCGACGCCGCGUGAUUUAGAAGGCCUUCGGGUUGUAAAAAUCUUUUCUAUGGGAAGAAAAUGACAGUACCAUAGGAAUAAGGACCGGCUAAUUACGUGCCAGCAGCCGCGGUAAUACGUAAGGUCCGAGCGUUGUCCGGAAUCAUUGGGCGUAAAGGGUACGUAGGCGGGUAAGCAAGUUAGAAGUGAAAUCCUGUAGCUCAACUACAGUAAGCUUUUAAAACUGCUCAUCUUGAGAUAUGGAAGGGAAAGUGGAAUUCCUAGUGUAGCGGUGAAAUGCGCAGAUAUUAGGAGGAAUACCGGUGGCGAAGGCGACUUUCUGGCCAUAAUCAGACGCUGAGGUACGAAAGCGUAGGUAGCAAACAGG